CUUCCCUGAGUGUUUCUCAGUUGUCAGCUUCCUCUCACUAGAUCAGCCCUGCGUUUGCAUCAGCAAAAAAUGUCAGACUCUUUAAAAGACUUAGGAGCGUGUCAUGAGUCAUAGUAUUGGAGGAGUGCAGCCACACCUGUGACCUGAGGCCAGGGUGCAGCUGGAGGUGCCACCCCCGGUGACAGGGUACUUAGGGCUGGGUGAGCAAAGAGGGUGGGACUGCUCCACGCUCCUGGGCAGGGAGCUGGGCAGGCCCUGCGAGAUGCACCCUCAGCUGCUUCCCCUUUCCGGGCCCCAGGGCAGAAGGGGGAGCCAGGUGUGAGGGAGGAAGCUCCGGCAGUCCCAGCCCAGAGGCGCCGGCCUGGCGGCUGGAAGACCGCGCUGUGGGCACAUCUGGGGAGCAGCUGCCGGGCCAGGGCCAGCGCAGCCAGAACGGGUCACGUGGCACAGGGCAGGCCCGCCCUGCAGCCUGCGAGGCCAAGGCUCCCUCCCGGGAGGGGCAGCGGGGAACGUGCUGGACAUGAACACGCAUCCACAAGGAUGUACUCCGCGGUGUGGACACACAUGCACACAAGCCUUGGGCCCCGCACAGCCGCUGCCUCAGGAGACAGACGGCCUGGGUUCAAGGCCACAUCCCAGCUGUGUGAUCUGAAGCAAGUCACUCAACCUCUCUGGGCCUCAGCGGCCUCCGCUGGAAAAGGAACAUACCUGCUGCUGCCAGUCGCGGGUGAAUACUGGGAGCGCUGCCUGAUAGGGAGCCUUUGCCCGGAGUCCCGGAGGUCCGAGGAGAGGUCUGACUGGUAAAGGCUGACAGGGUGACGUGGUGACAGAGACAUCGUGAGAAGACACGUCCGUUCAUCACCAGGGGCUGCCGUCACCUCCUGGCACAGCUUAUUUGACCUCAUAACUGGCCUACAGAGAACAAUGAUCAUUAACUCCAGUUUACAGAUGAGGAAACUGAGGUACAGCUUGUCGAUGACAGAGCCAGGAUUUGAAGGUGGCAAGGGCUGGUCCUUUUUUCUCUCUGGGCCCCCAUGUGCCAUCUGUGAAAUGGUGGGUUAUA
Long non-coding RNA from Pipistrellus kuhlii (Kuhl's pipistrelle), 1063 nucleotides. RefSeq lists it as uncharacterized. The transcript is spliced from 2 exons. NCBI's taxonomy places the organism in Eukaryota, Metazoa, Chordata, Mammalia, Chiroptera, Vespertilionidae. The record is from RefSeq and is a predicted model, not a curated record.